GCCGAGCAAGCGGACCAGCUGGAACCGGUCGCUUUCCAUCAGGUUAGUGAUGAAGGCGGCGGGAUAGCAAGUAGUGGUCUCCCAAGAAUUUUCACGUAUCUGUAUAGCACUGCAAAGAAGCCACCUGAGAUAGAUGGACCUAGGGAAGGGGUAACUAUGGCCAGAUAUGAUUUUGGGCUCCCAAUCAGUCGCCUUUAUGCUCGAUAUUUUGGUGGUGACUUGCAAAUCAUCUCUAUGGAAGGAUGGAAGGAUAUGGUACUGACGCUUACCUCCACUUGUCACGGCUGGGAGAUUCAGAGGAGCCCCUGCCUUGAUAUCUUCCCUGUUUUGAUACCGUUCACUUCCUGUAACUAGCUUGCUCUUCCUUCCUGUAAUCCCUGUGCUCGUUCGGAAAUAUUGCUGCAAGAGCCAGCCGCGUAUAGUUGUUGUAUCUUUCA
Molecule: long non-coding RNA, 437 nt
Organism: Phragmites australis (common reed)
Lineage: Eukaryota; Viridiplantae; Streptophyta; Magnoliopsida; Poales; Poaceae
Exons: 3
Source: RefSeq, a predicted model, not a curated record